AUUGAACGCUGGCGGCAUGCCUUACACAUGCAAGUCGAACGGUAACGGGCCUUCGGGUGCCGACGAGUGGCGAACGGGUGCGUAAUACAUCGGAACGUGCCCGAUCGUGGGGGAUAACGAGGCGAAAGCUUUGCUAAUACCGCAUACGAUCUACGGAUGAAAGCCGGGGACCGCAAGGCCUUGCGCGGACGGAGCGGCCGAUGGCAGAUUAGGUAGUUGGUGGGCUAAAAGCUUACCAAGCCGACGAUCUGUAGCUGGUCUGAGAGGAUGAUCAGCCACACUGGAACUGAGACACGGCCCAGACUCCUACGGGAGGCAGCAGUGGGGAAUUUUGGACAAUGGGCGCAAGCCUGAUCCAGCCAUGCCGCGUGCAGGAUGAAGGCCUUCGGGUUGUAAACUGCUUUUGUACGGAACGAAAAGCCUUCUUUUAAUACAGGAGGGUCAUGACGGUACCGUAAGAAUAAGCACCGGCUAACUACGUG
RNAcentral lists this ribosomal RNA (482 nucleotides) under uncultured bacterium. RNAcentral's name for it is "partial 16S ribosomal RNA". It matches the Rfam family "Bacterial small subunit ribosomal RNA", at positions 30 to 507 of the family's 1533-position model. The record is from RNAcentral.